GAUGAACGCUGACAGAAUGCUUAACACAUGCAAGUCAACUGUGGCGGACGGGUGAGUAACGCGUAAAGAACUUGCCUCACAGCUAGGGACAACAUUUGGAACCGAAUGCUAAUACCUGAUACUGUGAGAGAGCUUUGCGUCCCAUUAGCUAGUUGAAGAGGUAACGGCUCACCAAGGCGAUGAUGGGUAGCCGGCCUGAGAGGGUGAUCGGCCACAAGGGGAAUGAGACACAGCCCUUACUCCUACGGGAGGCAGCAGUGGGGAAGAUUGGACAAUGGACGAAAGUCUGAUAGAGCAAUUCUGUGGGCACGAUGAAGGUUACGGAAUGUAAAGUGCAUUAAGUUGGGAAGCGGUACCAACAGAAGAAGUGACGGCUAAAUACGUGCCAGCAGCCGCGGUAAUUC
Molecule: ribosomal RNA, 404 nt
Filed under: uncultured bacterium
Lineage: Bacteria
Description: partial 16S ribosomal RNA
Rfam family: Bacterial small subunit ribosomal RNA
Source: RNAcentral